UGCAGUGACAGUGACGGUGAUAGCAUUGGGGACGUAACAGAGAAGAACAUAAAAAGGCGAAGCGCGCGAAAUCCAGCAUCGGCAGUGGGCAAAUGGGAAAGCAAAAGCAACAAGUGAUUUCCCGCUUCUUCGCUCCGAAACCCAAAACUCCUCCAUCAGCCACUUCCCAAACACCUCCUCCUACUCCCACUCCCAAAAUCUCAGCCACCGUCGCUUUCUCCCCUUCCAAACGCCGCCUCACUUCCCAUCUCACACCCCCUCGCAAACACCAGAAGCUUCUCGAACCUUCCACGUCCUCUCAGCCACAACCUUCUUCUUCUUCUUCCAAGCCCCCAAACUACACUCCCUUGGAACAACAGGUCCUAAACCUCAAGGCCAAACACCCCGAUGUCCUCCUCAUGGUCGAAGUCGGUUACAAGUACCGUUUCUUCGGCCAAGACGCGGAACACGCCGCCAGAGUUCUCGGCAUUUACGCCCACGUGGACCACAACUUCUUAACCGCGAGCAUACCAACUUUUCGACUCAAUGUCCACGUCAGAAGGCUCGUCAGCGCGGGCUACAAGGUCGGCGUCGUCAAGCAGACCGAGACCGCCGCCAUCAAGGCCCAAAGUUCCAACCGUUUGGGCCCAUUCUGCCGUGGGCUUUCGGCCCUCUACACCAAGGCCACGCUAGAGGCGGCGCCGGAUUUGGGGGGACCCGAGGACGGGUGCGGGGGAGAAAGCAACUACUUGAUGUGUGUGGUGGAGAAGAGUGUUUUGGGUGAGAAGGGAAAUUGUGGGGUUAAUGUCAGGCUUGGGUUUGUUGCUGUGGAGAUUUCCACCGGGGAUGUUGUUUAUGCGGAGUUUGGUGAUGAUUUUCUGAGGGGUGCGCUUGAGGCUGCUCUUCUGAGCUUGUCUCCGGCUGAGUUGCUUCUUGGGGACCCUCUUUCGAAGCAAACAGACAAGUUAUUGUUGAAUUUUGCUGGACCUGCCUCAAAUGUUCGAGUAGAGCGUGUUUCACGAGAUUGCUUCACUGGGGGGGGUGCUCUUGCUGAAGUUAUGACCCUGUACGAGAACAUGCAUGUAGAAGGUUCAUCAGAUUCAAUACAAAGCAAUGAUUUGGCUGAGAACAGAAGUCAGCAGUUAGUAAUCAAGGAGGUGAUGAACAUGCCAGAUUUGGCUGUCCAAGCUUUGGCCUUAACUAUUCGCCAUUUGAAGGAAUUUGGUUUUGAAAGAAUUCUGUGUUCAGGAGCUUCUUUAAGGCCCUUCUCAAGCAAAACGGAAAUGACUCUCUCAGCCAAUGCACUUCAACAACUGGAGGUUUUGAAAAAUAAUAGUGAUGGAUCUGAGACCGGUUCCUUGCUGCAAAUUAUGAAUCGAACUCUUACUAUAUUUGGUUCCAGGCUUCUUAGGCAUUGGGUAUCUCAUCCUCUGUGUGAUCAAACCUUAAUUUCUGCUCGUCUUCAUGCUGUAACUGAAAUUGCAGAGUCCAUGGGAUCUUGUAAUAGUGUGAAGAAUCUUGGACAUGUUGAGGAAGAUCCUGAUGUAGCAAUUGUGCAACCUGAGUUAGCAUACAUACUUUCACUGGUUUUGACAACUCUUGGCCGAGCACCUGAUAUACAACGUGGAAUUACAAGAAUUUUCCAUUGCACUGCUACCCCAUCUGAGUUCGUUGCAGUAAUUCAAGCUAUUUUGUCUGCUGGAAAACAGCUUCAACAACUUAACAUAGGAGAUGGGAAUAAUAAUACAUUGCACUCUAAUCUGUUAAAAAAGUUAAUUUUGACUGCUUCCUCUGGCAUUGUUAUUGACAAUGCUGCAAAAUUGUUGUCAUCUUUAAAUAAAGACGUUGCUGAUCAAGGAGAUCUAACAAAAUUAAUCAUUGCAUCAGAGGGACAAUUCCCAGAGAUCAUUAGAGCUCGGAAGGCUUUCAAGCUGGCGGUGGAACACUUAGAUUCAUUGAUUGACUUGUAUCGCAAACGGUUUGGAAUGCAAAAUUUGGAAUUCAUGAGUAUUUCUGGAACAACUCAUUUGAUUGAGUUAUCAACUAAUGUAAAGGUUCCUUCAAACUGGGUCAAGGUAAAUAGCACAAAGAAAACAAUUCGAUAUCACCCUCCUGAAGUAGUGUCAGCAUUGGACAAGUUAUCAUUAGCAAAAGAAGAACUCACUGUUGCCUGCCAAGCAGCUUGGAAUAGCUUUCUUAGGGACUUCAGUAAACACUAUGCUGAUUUCCAAGCUUCUGUUCAAGCACUAGCUGCUUUAGAUUGUCUACAUUCACUUGCCAUUCUUUCAAGAAAUAAGGGUUAUGUUCGGCCAGUGUUUGUAGAUGAUCAUGAGCCUGUUCAGAUACAAAUUUGUUCUGGUAGACAUCCGGUUUUGGAGACUACCUUACAAGAUAAUUUUGUUCCAAAUGAUACAAACAUGCAUGCAGAUGGAGAGUACUGUCAGAUUGUUACUGGACCCAAUAUGGGGGGAAAAAGUUGCUAUGUUCGCCAGGUGGCUCUGAUUGCUAUAAUGGCUCAGGUUGGUUCCUUUGUACCAGCAUCAUCAGCAAAACUGCAUGUCCUGGAUGGAAUCUACACUCGGAUGGGUGCUUCUGACAGUAUUCAGCAAGGGAGAAGCACCUUCCUAGAAGAACUAAGUGAGACUUCACAUAUACUACAUAGUUGCACAGAACAUUCACUGGUUAUCAUUGAUGAGCUUGGGAGAGGUACAAGUACACAUGAUGGUAUGGCCAUUGCUCAUGCAACAUUGCAUUAUCUUCUGAAGCAAAAAAGAAGCAUGGUCCUCUUCGUCACUCACUAUCCAAAGAUUGCCAACCUGGCUGCUGAAUUUCCUGGCUCUGUGGCAGCAUAUCACGUAUCACAUCUGACCUCACGUGAUGCAAGUAAAAAUUCCAACUUGGAUCAUGAUGUCACUUACCUCUACAAGCUCGUGCCUGGUGUUUCAGAGAGGAGUUUUGGCUUUAAGGUUGCUCAACUAGCACAGUUACCAUCACAUUGCAUCAGUCGAGCCAUGGUCAUGGCUUCCAAAUUAGAAGCACUAGUAAACAAUAGAAUACAUAGUAGAUCAAGAAAGGAACUACUAUUGGAUAUGCUGGUGAUUGGUCAAGAGCAAGAACAGCUUAUGGCUCAACCAUAUGAUCGUCCACAUCAAGAGUUUGGUAUGGCUUACAAAGAUUUCUAUUUAAACUUAAAAGCUGCUCUACAAGAUGAUGACUGUGCAAAAAACUUUCACCUUUUGGAGCAUGCUAGAAGCAUUGCAAGGAAAUUAAUUGGCAGAUAAAUGCAUUAUGGGUAAGACAGGAUGACUUGCAGAAGCAGGGUUCAGGUCUCCUCCAGUGUUGUAGAAUGUAGAUAAUAUCUAGCAUAAAAUAAAAUUGAUUCCGUAAUUUUUGCUUCUUUACCUUUCUCCUGCCAAGCUUAUAAUUUUGUAAUUUUGGUCAUGCUUGGGAAUUGAUUUUGUUUACUGCCAUGUAUAAGGAUGUCCGUCCUUUUUGAGCCUACGGAAGUAAAAGCAAAGUGCGGCAUAUGGUUGUCCUGAGGGUAUCUUUUGUAGAAUAUGGCUUCGAAUUUAACGGGUCAGUAUUGGGCUAAUAGAAGUGUUAGUAGGUAAAAUGUCUUUCUCCAAACAUUAAUGGGUGGAAAGUAUUAACAGUACUUCAUGCAAAGGAAGUUUUGUGCAAAUAAAUAUC
Molecule: RNA transcript, 3669 nt
Organism: Cajanus cajan (pigeon pea)
Lineage: Eukaryota; Viridiplantae; Streptophyta; Magnoliopsida; Fabales; Fabaceae
Gene: MSH3
Gene name: homolog of DNA mismatch repair protein MSH3
Source: RefSeq, a predicted model, not a curated record